UGAAAUGAUAUUCUCACUAAAACACAUACUAGCAUGAUGUGAAAGGUUUUCUCACAUAGAAAGGUAUCAUAGGUUGAAAGACUUUCUCACCUAAUUGAAUCAAAGACAUGGAGCUAUCUUCAUGAAACUAGCUAGAAUUGGUUGUCCAAGGUCACCUUUUCAUGAGUAAUGAAGUCAAGUAAGAAAUUACUAUUCCGUGGGAAUUCAUGCUUAGCACCCAGUGGAUAUUGAUAGUGAGAUGGAAGCUCUCCCGUUAGUAGAGGCCGGGGUUCCAAAGUAAUCUCAUGAGAUGGAAGCUCCCCCGUUAGUAGAGGCCAGGUUUCUAGUAGCAAUCUCCUUAUCCCAUAAAUACGUGCCCACAUAGGUUGAUUAGCUAGUG
Molecule: long non-coding RNA, 379 nt
Filed under: Solanum tuberosum (potato)
Lineage: Eukaryota; Viridiplantae; Streptophyta; Magnoliopsida; Solanales; Solanaceae
Description: long non-coding RNA (STUB_LNC001461)
Source: RNAcentral